RNAcentral lists this transfer RNA (74 nucleotides) under Triticum aestivum (bread wheat). It matches the Rfam family "tRNA". From Rfam's summary of the family: Transfer RNA (tRNA) molecules are approximately 80 nucleotides in length. RNAcentral also lists the same sequence under 1 other name. Lineage: Eukaryota; Viridiplantae; Streptophyta; Magnoliopsida; Poales; Poaceae. The record is from Rfam by way of RNAcentral.
GUUCUCUUAGUUCAGUUCGGUAGAACGCGGGUCUCCAAAACCCGAUGUUGUAGGUUCAAAUCCUACAUAGCAUG